AUACCUGCCCUUUUUCCAUGUUUCCUCUGACCAUUUCUUAUUUAUUUGAUUUUCUGUUGAUGUUAAAUGCUGCAAUUAAUGAUUUUCUGUUGAUGUUAAAUGCUGCAAUUAAUGGAGCCCUAUAUUUAGCCUAAUACGCGGACAUAUGCAAUGCAUGUAUAGGUUUAUGAUUCAAUUGAAAUACUGUUUUUAUAUCAUAAAAAUUAUUGGAAUUGAAACAAGUUCUAGGCUAUUUUUUAUGCCACAACUAUUUAGCGUUAGAUUCAAAUAUCUUAGCAUAGAAAGGGUCUUAUUCCUUUCCUGUGUCUGGAUAGAAUUUAUCUCAAGAAAGCAUACCUUGAAGUAAACUUGCAAUUUGACAAUUUGCUGAGAGAAUGGGAAACAAAGUGUUUGUUAACAAUGGUCAAUUUGAAAAUUUUUUAUUUGGAACAUUGAUCAUUGUCUAUAAAUGCUUUCCUCAUCUUUUUCAGUUAUACCUGCACUCACUUAGUGUAUAAAGACAUUAUUAUAUAAGAAUAUGCAAUUGCGAUGUAAAACUUGUGACCUAGUUGAAGAAGUGAUAAAUUGGUAUAGAGUGGUAUUUUGAAUUACUAAAUUAAAAUGGAAAGUAAGCCUUUUAUGAGAAUUACUAGCUGCUAAUUUUGUAGAUGAGAGUAAUCUUAGUGUGGCUUGUGGGCACAAGUCCCUUAGUGGCAGAUGCAAUGUACAAGAAAACUGAAGGGCACAAGUGUUGGCAAACCAAACAGAAAUGGCUUAGGCCAUUUUGUUAAUGAAGUUCCCAGUUCAAUAUGAAGUUCUUCCUGUUUGUUGAUCCACACUCCUGGACUUGUGAUUCUUAACAUGAUAUUAGAGCAGCAAGGCCUCAAUGCAGUAUUUCUAGGAAGGCAAGCACGUAUUGGGUUCAGCCCCAAUGAGCCAGACUUGUGAGCUGAACUAAUUGAGCACGACGUAAAUGGGUCCAUGGCUAGCCAAAUGAGCUAAACCUUAAGGCAGAGCCAAGAGUAGCUAUUACCAAGUGAUGCAUGCACAAGAGCAUUACUUUUCAACAAACUGAGGCACACAAGAGUUCAAAAAAUCUUCAAACAUACAAGUUAUGAAACUCGAAACCAACUUCUGAAUCAUCCAAUAUCAUAUUAUCAUAUGUGGAGAAAGGUAUUCGAGAUGAGAACUAUAUUUGGGAACCAUGAGAGAAUAAGGAAAGAAGCAACACACUCUUCAACACAUAUAGAUGCGCAAUACAAUUUCAGAUCGCGUAAUGCAUAAGCUAAAUUCAUGCAGUCCUGUGAGGAAGAAGAUUUCUCCAAGACAAUUCAGCAUAUGGAGUCGGUUCUGGUGGCAGCGCUUCAGAGGGUCGCCGAUCGGAGGCCGGCGAGAUUGGUGGGCAGUGGGCUAGAUGGUGAGACCAACUUACUUCCAGAAAGUCUCCAAACGAAGGUGGCAGAUCUGCCACUUAUAGUUAGGCCAAGUUUCUUGGCUCUAAUACCAUGAAACAGAGAUGAAAAAAGAGAGAGAAGCAGAGAA
Manihot esculenta (cassava) is the source of this 1521-nucleotide long non-coding RNA. RefSeq lists it as uncharacterized. The transcript has 2 exons. NCBI's taxonomy places the organism in Eukaryota, Viridiplantae, Streptophyta, Magnoliopsida, Malpighiales, Euphorbiaceae. The record is from RefSeq and is a predicted model, not a curated record.